Molecule: transfer RNA, 64 nt
Filed under: Xanthomonas sp. 4461
Lineage: Bacteria; Pseudomonadati; Pseudomonadota; Gammaproteobacteria; Lysobacterales; Lysobacteraceae
Description: tRNA-Lys
Rfam family: tRNA
About the family: Transfer RNA (tRNA) molecules are approximately 80 nucleotides in length. Their secondary structure includes four short double-helical elements and three loops (D, anti-codon, and T loops).
Source: RNAcentral
AGUAAGUGGCAUCCGAAGACUUUUAAUCUUUUGGUCGAUGGUUCGAAUCCAUCACGGCCCACCA